GAUUUUUAAUGGCUCCUCUCAAAGAUUAACAUCUCUUCACUAAAUACAGAAGAAUUCCAUAUGUAAUGAAUUUCCAGCCUCCAUGAAAACAAAAUGGACUCUUUCAUGCUGUCUCAACAUAUGAAUACAUUGCUCUGUCACCUGGGUGUUAUUACCGACUUAAAUCUGAAAGAAGCUGGGCACGGCAGUGGUGUGUGGGUGCCUGCAGUCCUGAGGAGCUGGGACUGUUUCCCGAACAAUGCCUUUCCACCACACACGGUGGUUGUGAGGGCCAGCUGAGGCAAAGCCCUCAGGAAGACCACUCAAGCCCAGGAGUCCAGCCUGCGCAAGACACUUUUUUUAGGCUUCUGUCACCACAAAAUGUUACUUGGAAAACUAGAUCCCAGCAGAUGACCUGUACUUCUCUGCUCUCUCCCCUACUGCAAAGAGGCAGUGAGGGCAGCAUUAGUAAGCCUGACUCAGGGGAAGGUAAGUGGCCUGCAGAGAAAUGGUCCUAGGUCCGCAACCGAGGCGAGUGAACUUGUCGGACAGAUGAAGACUCUAACUGGAAGAAACGAUCAGCGCAUUCACGGAUGCACCACCAUCCAGAAAUCUCCCGGUGGCUUCCAUACAAAAACUGAUGUUUCUAAAGAUGGAAAGAACAGGUCUAGGAGGCAGAAGAGUAUCUCCUAGCAAAGUGUUCUGUAGCUCAAAGGGUGAGUGGGCUUUGGUAGCAAAAAGCUUUGAAGGCUUCACCCUGGGUGAAUCUGACAAGGGCUGGAGCCAGACGGGACCUGCAGCACCUCCUCAGCUUGGCCUCGUCUCCCCUGACCCCGCCUCCGUGCAUGCUGCCUCAGUUUGCCUUCUCAGCAGAGAAGCCCCCACCACCAGGGGCUGGGCAUGCCCAGGGCAGGUGUGGGGCCUGUAGUGGGGCAGCAGCAACUGGUGGGUGCCCCUCUAGUGGGCGCUCAGCUCACAGCUGCUCAAAUGGGAACAGGUGGGAAGCUGCUGCUUUCUUUUCCCUUUUGGUCUUCUUGGGCCCACCCUUCAGCUUCUGCUUUUCUUCAUCUUCUCGGUUUUGAGGCCAGGAGGCAGCCAGUAUCCUGGCCGCUUCUGCUUGAGAGCUGGUCCCCUCCUCUUCAUCAGAAGAGAGUCCACCUCCUGCAUCUGUGUGGGGAGCUGCUGCCUCACUCUGGACAGGUGGCAGUGGUGGGAGGACACAGGCGAGGGUUAGUAAUCAGAUACCAGGAAGCCCCAUGAAGAGGCAGCAAGUUCCCAGCCUGCCCUAAGCUGUGUAACUCUGGGAGGACAAGGGCAUGGGACAGGGCAGGGAGAGAGCCCAGACCCUUCUUACUGAGCCGUCCCAGCCUGGGGUGCAUCCAAGCAGACACUGGAGCACCUGCUACGAGCUGAGUGCAGGGGAACACAAGGAUGAUGGCUGGGCAGGAAGCUGCCCUCUAGGAGCACACUGCCUCAUCUGGGGAUGCCUGUGAUUCGUGCCUUGCAUUUGCUACCUCAUUUCUGGACCAAAGCACAUGAUGUCUUGAACGGGCAAGAUGCACAGUUCAGCCCUCGGAGCCCUAAGAUCUGAGGCGGCACUCCCUGCCAGCUGGGAUGGCUAGGGAGGGUUUGGAUGGAGAAGGCGGCAAGGAGCUGGUCAGAACAUAAAGUCAGAUGAAGGGCUUUUCUCCACCAGAGGGACUGGAAUGAGGAGCGUGACAAAAAAAUGUUGAAAGGCAAACAGGCAGCACAGAGGGUUGGAGAGAGGGAACAAAACAUGCCAGAGCAGUUUCUGCUGUGUCUGACACAGCACUGACUAUACCAUGUAACUGGGCCUAGGGUCCAUCUGCCCCAGGGAGGGGCCCCCUUGAGGGCUGCAUGUCAAAUUCACACCUGUGUCCAAGCCUGGCCUGGCACAUGGCAGGUGCUGUGAGAGAGGUACUGAGCGGGCCACUGCAGGCCUGCAGCAUGGUCACAGGCACUGGGAACACUGGAAGGCGGAAGGGUGCACCAAAUGCAGGACACUUGGCCCUCCCUAUGUGUUCAGCGCCAAAUCAGACCCAUGGCAUUGCUCAUGUGGACAGUAGAAACGGGGACACUGGGACAGGGCUUGGGGCAGAAGAGCCAGCUGAGGCCUCACUCCAGGGACACCUUUCCCAACAAGGUAAAAACAAGCGGCCUUAGAGACAGAAGACUGAGGUGUCCUAACACAAAGCUAUCCCUGACUUGAGGCUGGGGCAGAAUCUGGGCCAGGCCUUUCUGAGCUGCAUCUCCAAGAAACUGACCCUGAGCUUGUCUUCUCUGCAAAGAACCUGCACUGACCUUGGGCCCGUAGCGACGCUUCAGCCUCUCCCUGAUGAGCAGACCUUUGGCCAGCAACUUCCAGUUCCCUAGAGCCCGCUUCUCCUUUUUCUGCAGGCAAAAAUGAAGUGGGAGAAAAGUGUUAAGCACUGACAUUUUCAGGAAAAAUAUUAAGAUGGAAACUGUGAAUGUAAAGACAGAUAUAUACACCACUUUAGAAUAUAGCCUCUCCUUCACACCAAGUCUCACUUCCAAAAAAUUGAUCUGAUUUACAAAGUGAUAUACUAUACCUGAAAGCCACAAAAACAGAUAACUUUUUAAUCGUUACUGACUCCAAAAUCUUUAGUGGGUGAGGUCUUCCAGAACCUGGACACAGGCAAUUCAAGACAGAGGCAGGUGUGGGCAGCAGGGGCAGUAGACCCCAGAGCCCGGACCCAGGCUCCUCAGGGACAGUGAUAGUCUGCGGGGUGGGCAGGAGCCUGCUGUAUUCAGUGCUCGCUCCCUCGGGUGCCUGCCAUGAUGUCAGAGAGGGCUGGGAAGAGCCUGGGAGCACACGGAGGCGGCCUGGGGAAGGAAGAGGCCACCCGCUGAGUGUUGCUUCCCGCUUCUGCUGUCCCUCAGUCCUGCAUAUGCGCUUACCUCCUUCUCCUUCCUUUCAAUGACUGCCUGCUCAUUUUCCCAGGCAGUCAGGAGCACGUCUUUGAAUUCCUCGCAGACGAUGUAUCCAUCAGUCCUGUGGGGACACAACGCGAUGUCAACCCUCGAACCUGCUGCCUGCUCUGCCUCUCCUCCCUCCCCAGUUUGUGGAAGACAGUGGGCCACAUCUGAGCACUAGGGGUCCUGAAGGAUGUCGCGGGUCAGCCAGUGUCCCACAUCCUCCGUGCAGAAGGCAGGCCUGUGGAAGCUGGCACUGCCUCUUCCUCCCCAGAUUCUGCCGAAGAAAGCUGGGGUGAAAGCCCCUAUCCAGCCUCACCCAUCAUGGAACAGAGCUCACUAACCAGGCAGCUGCCGGGGAAAGAUGCUGACUGUUUUUUGCUCACUAGCCUGUGAGUCCCUAAACCUGGGAAGAACGUUUUAAUCCAGCAUUACGAUGCCAGUUUCAUUGGCUCCGUUCCCUCUGGAGGGAAGCCAGAAUUGGUAAAGCACUGACUUUGCAAAUCCAGUGUAACAUCCUGAAAAUUGGAGCCACCAGGCCUCAACUCCCAGCAGCCCCAUGCCAGCUUUCCAUCCCCAUCUCUGGAGCCACCCCUCCCCAUCCCUGUGUUUAGCCUCCAUCGAAGGCCCCUCACGCACACGGGAUGGGAGUAGCCGCCAUGGAAAUCAAAGCCAGUGAUGGCCUGGACACAGUCGAUGUCCAGCUUGCGGGCCACGCGGUGUAGAUUGGGCAGGUUCAGCUGGACACAGCCAAUAGGCAUCAUGCUGGGCAGGAAGAGGUACACAUUCCCAAACUCGUUCCGGGGCACCUGUGUCGGGUGAGCAAGUCAGCAUUUGGCCAGCAGGGGAACAAGGCGGCCUGGUCCUGAGCCCUUCUGAUGCUGCCCUUACCUUCCCGUCCACGGCCACUGGGGGCUGAUACUCCUCUGUCUGCCAGUAGCCAAACAGGCCCAGGUCAUUUUCUUCCCGCAGCUGGGGCUCAGCAAGUCGGGCUUUCCGAGCACGGUUAGAAAAGCCUUUCACCAUCUGCACCAGAGGACACGGCCACCGUUUACAACAAAGGCAUCCAGUUCCUCAGCACCGGGCCAGGCACCAUGCUCAGUGCCGCAUGCCUGGUACCUGGUGAACCCUCAGAACACACCUACCAGCUGGGGUGCUUUUUCUCCCUUUUUUUUUUUUGAGACAGAGUCUCGCUCUGUCGCCCAGGCUGGAGUACAGUGGUGCAAUCUUGGCUCGCUGCAACCUCUGCCUCCUGGGUUUAAGCAAUUCUCCUGCCUCAGCCUCCUGAGUAGCUGGGAUUACAGGUGCCUGCCACCACGCCCGGCUAAUUUUUGUAUUUUUAGUAGAGACGGGGGUUUCACCAUGUUGGCCAGGCUGGUCUCGAACUCCUGACCUCAGGUGAUGCACUCGCCUCAACCUCCCAAAGGGCUGGGAUUACAGGCGUGAGCCACCGUGCCCGGCUGCUCCCCUUUUCUUACUACAAGCACUAGCUAACAUUUAUGGAACAUUCUCUGUCCCAGACACUAUUCUCGGUGUUUUUUGUUUUUUUAUCCCCCUGAGACGGAGUCUCACUCUGUUGCCCAGGCUGGAGUGCCCUGGUGUGAUCUCAGCUCACUACAACCUCCACCUCCCGGAUUCAAGUGAUUCUCGUGCCUGUCUCCUGAGUAGCUGGGACUACAGGUACCCGCCACCAUGCCCAGCUAAUUUUUAUAUUUUUGGUAGAGAUGGGGUGUCACCAUAUUGGCCUGGCUGGUCUCAAACUUCUGACCUCAAAUGAUCCACCUGCCUUGGCCUCCGAAAGUGCUGGAAUUACAGGCAUGAGCCACUGCGCCCAGCCUAUCUUCAGUGCUUUAUAUGUUAUUAUUUAAUUUUUUCAACAAACCCACAAGGUAGGUCUUAUUAUUGUUUCCAUUUUACAGAUGAACACCACAGACGGGGUAAAUGAUUUGCCUAAAGUCACACAGCUCGUAAGGGCCAGAGCCCACACUUUCAUCCACUAGCCUAUAUUCUGUGCUGUCAUCACUGAUAGCAGUGACUGAGACUGAGAGACAAAGUCACUUAAGAGCUGAUGGCUGGUAAGUGACAAGAACCAGGAUUUACAAUUCAGGUAACUGUCCAUCAGUAGAGCCUGUGUCUCAACAUAUAACCUAUGUCUGCUCACACGCCCUAGAAAGCACUGACAGUUCAGGACUCCCAGUGUGCUCCCCAACAGCGUGCAGUGGCCAAGGCCAAGAUCUUCCCUGGGGAGUGAAGUGGUGAGAGGGGCGCAGGACAGGCAAGGACAGAGUCACGUAACUCUUAGAGGAGUCAGGCAUGGGCGUGCGGCUGAGGGCUGGCCCCUGGGCCUCAGCAUACAGACUUCCUCUAGUGCAGGGGCCCACAAGCUUGUUCUGUAAAGGGUCAUGCGUG
RNAcentral lists this long non-coding RNA (5343 nucleotides) under Homo sapiens (human). RNAcentral's name for it is "HSALNT0310472". Lineage: Eukaryota; Metazoa; Chordata; Mammalia; Primates; Hominidae. The record is from RNAcentral.